Omnitrophica WOR_2 bacterium is the source of this 75-nucleotide non-coding RNA. The record is from Rfam. Lineage: Bacteria; Pseudomonadati; Candidatus Omnitrophota.
GCCCCCAUCGUCUAGCCUGGUCCAGGACACAUGCUUCUCAGGCAUGGAACACCGGUUCAAAUCCGGUUGGGGGUA